UGGUGUGUUGUAUCAUUGGCACUCAUACCACAUCUUCCUAUAUCUAUUAACAAGCUAUGCAUUUCCAUAGAAAUACCAAAACGAGGACAUAGCUCAUAAGAGCACUGGUGGCAGGGUGAAGUAAUUGUUCUUCUUUUAAUGUAUCCUUAAUAUUUUCAGACACACCUUGGUGUAAUUCUGAAAGUCUUAACAUAGACUUCAAUUUUCCUGCAGCAGAUAUGGCAUCCCCUAAAUUGAGUUCAGAGCUAAACUCUUUAUUUUAUAUCCCUUGGCCCCACUGUGUCUGAAUUGUAAGGUGUCACAAUAUCUAGUUAGUUC
This 318-nucleotide long non-coding RNA is filed under the name Mytilus galloprovincialis (Mediterranean mussel). Lineage: Eukaryota; Metazoa; Mollusca; Bivalvia; Mytilida; Mytilidae. The record is from RNAcentral.